AAGCUAAGGAUCUGUCACAGAGAAAGAUGGCGAGUAUGUGUCAAAUGAACUGAUCUUGGUUUCCAUUUUCCUGAUCGGUGAAGAGCUAAAGAUUGAGGGUGGAACAACGAAUGUUUCAGCAGUGCUUGUGGUACAAAGUUGUGCAGGUGUGUUAUGGUUUGCAGUCAUCCAUCAACUGAAGUGUAAAAUUCUCUAAUGCAGCCAUAUUAAAGGAUUUAUUCAGUUAGGGCUACAAAAGUAUUGGAUCAAAUGUCUUUCCGUAGUAUAGUUCGUGACAUGAGGGAUGGGUUUGGGAGUUUAUCAAGGCGGAGUUUUGAUCUGAGGCUGUCAGGCCAUCACAGAGGGAAAUCUCAUGGUUCAGUAAGCGAGUUGCAUGAUCAGCAUGUGGUAAUCCAGAACAGUCGUUGGGCUAGCCUCCCACCCGAGCUACUACUUGAUGUGAUCAAGAGAUUGGAGGCAAGUGAGAGUACUUGGCCUGCUCGGAAGCA
RNAcentral lists this unclassified non-coding RNA (488 nucleotides) under Hevea brasiliensis (rubber tree). Lineage: Eukaryota; Viridiplantae; Streptophyta; Magnoliopsida; Malpighiales; Euphorbiaceae. The record is from RNAcentral.